RNA transcript from Strigops habroptila (Kakapo), 3129 nucleotides. It is a transcript of the gene named SAS-6 centriolar assembly protein, with no coding region annotated. The record is from RefSeq and is a predicted model, not a curated record. The transcript is spliced from 17 exons. Lineage: Eukaryota; Metazoa; Chordata; Aves; Psittaciformes; Psittacidae.
CCUCCUCCGCGGGAGCCGCGCGCGAAGCUCGAGCCGAAGAUGGCGGCGGAGAGCCUGUUCAACCGGCCCGUGUGUGUGCAAGUGCGGUGCCCGGGCUGCGAGGAGAGGAGGUUAAACGUUCGGGUGAAUAUUGAGCUACUGUCAAUUUCUAAUCCUGUUCAUAAAAAGGAUUUAGCUGUUCGAUUGACUGAUGAUACCGAUCCUUUUUUCCUUUAUAACCUUGUCAUAUCUGAGGAAGAUUUUCAAAGUUUAAAGUCCCAGCAGGGUCUCCUGGUGGACUUCUCUGCUUUCCCACAGAAAUUUAUCGAUCUGCUUCAGCAGUGCAUUCAGGAACAGAAUAAAGACAUCCCAAGGUUUUUGCUGCAGUUAGUUUCUUCAGCAUCUGUUCUAGAUCACACUCCUGUCUCUUUAAACGUAGUGGAGACAAACCCUUUUAAGCACCUCACCCACCUCUCUCUCAAAUUCCUACCAGGAAAUGAUGCAGAAAUAAAGAAGUUUUUAGCCAGCUGUUUGAAAUGCCUUAAGGAAGACAAACUGAUGUUGGAAGAAAAGCUUAGAAAAACUGAAGAGGAUCUUACCAGACAGCUGAGCUACACUCAACAGAGCUUGUCAGAGAGAAACCGGGAACUUGACAAACUGAAACAUGAGUGGACAUCCCAUACUACAGCUCUAACAAACAAACACACUCAGGAGCUGACAAAUGAAAAGGAGAGAGCUCUCCAGGCACAAGCUCAGUACCAACAACAGCAUGAGCAGCAGAAAAAGGAAUUGGAAAAUGUGCAUCAGAAAAGUAUUCAGCAGUUGCAGAACAGACUCUCGGAACUUGAGGUCAUCAAUAAGGAUCUAACAGAAAGGAGAUACAAAGGAGACUCCACAGUCAGAGAGCUGAAAGCAAAGCUUUCUGGAAUAGAAGAUGAAUGUCAAAGAGCAAAGCAGGAGGUGCUGUCGCUGCGUCGGGAGAACACUACUCUGGAUGCUGAGUGCCAUGAAAAAGAGAAACUCAUCAACCAGCUACAGACACGGGUUGCUGUUCUGGAACAGGAGAUCAAAGACAAAGAUCAGCUGGUGAUUAGAACAAAAGAAGUACUGGAUGCGACACAAGAACAAAAGGUGAUCCUGGAGGAGAGCACGGAGAAAAAACAAAGUCAUAUCGAAAAACUAGAGGCAACCAUUAAGUCGCUGUCAGCUGAACUGCUGAAGGCCAAUGAAAUUAUCAAGAAGUUACAGGGAGAUCUGAAAACUCUCCUGAGCAAAUUAAAGUUGAAGAACACGGUAACGAUUCAACAGGAAAAGCUCCUGGCGGAAAAAGAAGAGAGACUGCAGAAAGAGCAGAGGGAACUGCAGGAGGUGGGACAGUCUCUGCGGACAAAAGAGCAGGAGGUUUGCAAGCUGCAGGAGCAGCUGGAAACCACCAUGCAGAAGCUGGAGGAGAGUAAGCAGUUACUGAAAACCAAUGAGAACGUAAUCACAUGGUUAAACAAACAGCUGAAUGAAAUCCAGAUGACAAAGAAGCUGGAGACUUCUGCAAGUGCUCAUGCUGGUGUUAGGGCUGCCAUCUCACCUCAUGGCAUGGUAAGCACGAACGCCCGUCCUUUCCCAGCUCAGGAAUCGGUCAUCCCAUUUCUCCUCUAUAUGCCUUCCAGAACUUUCCAGAACCAGCACACACCAAAACCAUCAGUUCACAAUGUCCAGGACCGAAGAUCCAGCUCAACACCCAGCUGCCUAAAAUGAACCGAUGUUCAGAUGUGCAGACAGCGACUGCAACCAGUCACCCAGCAAACAAGGAGAAUGGUGACAAUUUGGGGCUGGAUUCAAAGUAUUUCAAGAAGAAAGAUGACAGCAUUCCUUUACGAGGGCUUAGUCAAAAUACACUCAACCCAGAGUAUCUGAAACCCUACUUGCCACCAAAAGCCACACCGUCGCUGAAAGCUGCAGCAACACCAGCCUCAGCUUAUUUUCCUGGAUAGCAGACAGGGUUCCUACAGUAAGAGUCCUCUCUUAACCCCUGGGGGAUUUCUGGAUGUGCUGUAAAAUAAGGUGUUAGUAAAGUAUCGGUGUGAACUGACAUGAUUUUAUAACUCUGAAUCUGUUUUGAGAAAGAUCCGUGUCUUGCCUGCCCCGUGUGACUUUGCAGGGUACUUGAGCCUAAAGGAAGGAUAAAGCUUUAAGCAGCUGCAGCCUUGGCAAGAACAACGCUGCAGCCAGGUCCCUGUGGCUGUGCAGCUUCCUCUUGGAGAGCCUGUAGCCUUCCUAAAACCCACCCAAGUGACUGAGCUUUUUAUCGUAGGCAUUGACGAGUGUGGCUUUGUAACAGGAGUGAGGACAUGCCGGCAUUCCCUGAGAGACCAGGUCUCUUGUGAGCAUUCCUCUUGACUCCUUUCGGAGAAAGGAUGAUGCAAAUGGAAGGUGCUGGGAACUGGGUGGUGCUGUCAAUGUUAAUAAUGGUCAAGCCCAUAAGUUAGGGUGACUGCUUUCAUCUAAAAAAACUUACUUGAAUUGCAUCCAGACUUACAGAUAAUGGAAUUAAUAUUAAAGAAAGAUGGACAAUUAAUUCAGGCGAUUGAAAAUUGUAAUCGAGGGUUCUCACUUUUGGUUAUCCUGACUUCUCGAUUGAGCUCAGGGCUCUGUUCCACUGUGCACAAAACAUAGGUGGUGAGCACAGGAGCAGUUAACCAGUGAGAGCAUCACAGCAAACACCUAAAAGCUACAUGACUUUUACUAAUCAUCCUUUACAACUGUAAGACACUGCAGGCGUUUAAGAUACUCUAACACUUGGGUUUAGAGGGACUGAGUCUGUUCAGCUUGUCCUGCUCCCUGGGUUCAAAGGCUCAGAUCAUGUAAGAACUUCAUUCUGUGCCAUCUCUUACUCAGUGUAAGGAUGCAAGUACUUGUACCAGACAAACCCCACUUUUUCUUAAUGGCUAUUUACAUACUUUUGUUGUUAAAGAUAUUUUGUACCUUUCACCUUAGUUAUUUAAGUGCAUCCAGAGGAUUGUGUAUUAUUUAAGUGGUUUGUUUUGCAGUGCAAAAUGUGUAUAUUUGUUUUUAAAUCAGCACCAUGGUCAUGGAUGGUCACUGGGUUUGGCAUGUGAAGGUUUCCAUGGAAAUAUUAAAUGGUUUUUAAUCAAA